CCUACGGGUGGCAGCAGUGAGGAAUAUUGGUCAAUGGACGAGAGUCUGAACCAGCCAAGUAGCGUGAAGGAUGACUGCCCUAUGGGUUGUAAACUUCUUUUAUAUGGGAAUAAAAUGUUCCACGUGUGGGUUUUUGUAUGUACCAUAUGAAUAAGGAUCGGCUAACUCCGUGCCAGCAGCCGCGGUAAUAAGGAGGAUCCGAGCGUUAUCCGGAUUUAUUGGGUUUAAAGGGAGCGUAGGUGGAUUGUUAAGUCAGUUGUGAAAGUUUGCGGCUCAACCGUAAAAUUGCAGUUGAUACUGGCAGUCUUGAGUACAGUAGAGGUAGGCGGAAUUCGUGGUGUAGCGGUGAAAUGCUUAGAUAUCACGAAGAACUCCGAUUGCGAAGGCAGCUCACUGGACUGCAACUGACACUGAUGCUCGAAAGUGUGGGUAUCAAACAGGAUUAGAUACCCUUGUAGUC
RNAcentral lists this ribosomal RNA (460 nucleotides) under uncultured bacterium. RNAcentral's name for it is "partial 16S ribosomal RNA". It matches the Rfam family "Bacterial small subunit ribosomal RNA", at positions 338 to 795 of the family's 1533-position model. The record is from RNAcentral.